CCAUUGAUCUUUGUUAGGCUGC
Molecule: non-coding RNA, 22 nt
Filed under: Arabidopsis thaliana (thale cress)
Lineage: Eukaryota; Viridiplantae; Streptophyta; Magnoliopsida; Brassicales; Brassicaceae
Source: RNAcentral